Molecule: non-coding RNA, 89 nt
Organism: Enterococcus mundtii
Lineage: Bacteria; Bacillati; Bacillota; Bacilli; Lactobacillales; Enterococcaceae
Source: Rfam
UAAUUAAGACAACAAAAGGAGCUAUGCGUGAACAUAGCUCCUGUGUAGAACCGUUAAAAAGACGGUGACUGAAUUAAAUGAAUUUCUCA